UACAGAGGUCUCAAGCGUUGUUCGGAUUCAUUGGGCGUGAAGGGUGCGUAGGCGGCGCGGUAAGUCGGGUGUGAAAUCUUGGAGCUUAACUCCGAAACUGCAUUCGAUACUGCCGUGCUUGAGGACUGGAGAGGAGACUGGAAUUUACGGUGUAGCGGUGAAAUGCGUAGAUAUCGUAAGGAAGACCAGUGGCGAAGGCGGGUCUCUGGACAGUUCCUGACGCUGAAGCACGAAGGCCAGGGGAGCAAACGGG
Molecule: ribosomal RNA, 253 nt
Filed under: uncultured bacterium
Lineage: Bacteria
Description: partial 16S ribosomal RNA
Rfam family: Bacterial small subunit ribosomal RNA
Source: RNAcentral